This 456-nucleotide ribosomal RNA is filed under the name uncultured bacterium. RNAcentral's name for it is "bacterial SSU rRNA". It matches the Rfam family "Bacterial small subunit ribosomal RNA", at positions 340 to 784 of the family's 1533-position model. The record is from RNAcentral.
UACGGAAGGCAGCAGUGGGGAAUAUUGCACAAUGGGCGAAAGCCUGAUGCAGCUAUGCCGCGUGUAUGAAGAAGGCCUUAGGGUUGUAAAGUACUUUCAUCGGGGAGGAAAAAACAAAACUAAUAAUUUUAUUUCUUGACGUUACCCGAAAAAGAAGCACCGGCUAACUCCGUGCCAGCAGCCGCGGUAAUACGGAGGGUGCUAGCGUUAAUCAGAAUUACUGGGCGUAAAGAGCACGUAGGUGGUUUUUUUAAGUCAGAUGUGAAAUCCCUGGGCUUAACCUAGGAACUGCAUUUUGAAACUGAAAUACUAGAGUAUCGUAGAGGGAGGUAGAAUUCUAGGUGUAGCGGUGAAAUGCGUAGAUAUCUGGAGGAAUACCUGUGGCGAAAGCGGCCUCCUAAACGAAUACUGACACUGAGGUGCGAAAAGCGUGGGGAGCAAAACAGGGAUUAGACC